CCCGUAAUGGCGUUGCUUCUCGAUGUAGCGGUUAAUUUUAGCCUUGAUUUCUGCUAGGCCUCGCACGCCUUCCUCGCGUGGGAUGGUGCUUAAUUUGCGCGAGUACGUCGCUGGCUUUCCUGUUUCCUUUGGCUGCACAAAUAUGGCAUGGUCGCGAGGUGUUCUGUAGCCGGAUUGUGUUCUCUGAUUGCGGAUGCAUGCACCUUUGUGUGUGCACGAGAUCGAGCGACUUCUAAUCUGUAGUUGGUGGAAUCUGAUUCAUGGCAAUGUUGCGUCGAGUUUCGGUCGGAAAUCGCAUUUCACCUUAAGUGUAUUGAGUAUUUCGAUCUUGUUUUAUGCACCAACCUUGGUGGAUACGGGAUACUAUACUGCAAGUUUUGUGUCUUAACGACUAACGUGCUUCCUGUGAAUAUUGGGCCUUGAAGCCGUGGUAGAUGCCAUGGAUGUGGCUGAGAGGGAGUCGCUUGCCUCUCGGGACUGGUCCUCCUCCUCCUCCUUUCACCUUCCCUUGGUCAUAGAGUUCGGUUGGCAGCUCUAACCAUGCGGCCCAAGGUGAAUUAGAAAUCACACCGACCUCUCGUAUGUCAGCUCAGCAAAGCACGAACAUUGGGAACCAACGCACGUUGUUGCAGGAUGUGCAACAUGAUGCCCCUUGAUCAUCACCGGCGUGGCCAACAUGUAGAGCCCUUGAUCAUCAUGGUUUUCAUGUGUUUGCGGAGGACAUGUGGCUAGCUUUGCCUUAUCUAUAUGGUGUUUAUGUACUUUGCACUAUGGAUAUGUAACCACUAUGGACUAUAUGACUUCUUUGAACAUUUGAUUCAUUUGAUGGACUAUGCGACUUGUAUGGAUAUUUGAUGAACUAUGUGACUUCUAUGGACCUUUGAUGAUCUA
This is a long non-coding RNA of Lolium rigidum, 891 nucleotides long. RefSeq lists it as uncharacterized. The record is from RefSeq and is a predicted model, not a curated record. The transcript is spliced from 3 exons. Lineage: Eukaryota; Viridiplantae; Streptophyta; Magnoliopsida; Poales; Poaceae.